CGUAAUAACAGAAACUAACCAGGAUUCCCUUAGUAACGGCGAGUGAACUGGGAUACCAAUAUAUUUAUGCGUCUCUGGCGCAUAUUUUUAGCCCGUCGAUACUAUCCUAGCGUAUUACCGGUUUCGGCCGGUAGCCCAAUACGCGGGAAUUGUAGCAUCGUAAUAAAAUAUACACCAUGCCUGCGUCGCAAACGUAUAUACACGUAUACUCACACACACACAUACUCUCGUACACGUACACACCCCUUGCAAACACACAGCGCUCCCGCGUUGGAAAGCAAGUCUAUAUCCUCUUUGGAUAUGCCAUAGAGUGUGACACCCACGUUUGAAACACCCUACGUACCGUACACACACAUACGUAAAAAUACGCGCUGCUUCGCAUACGCAUACCGUAUAUAACCUGAGUCGAGUUAUUU
This 416-nucleotide ribosomal RNA is filed under the name Ammonia aomoriensis. RNAcentral's name for it is "partial large subunit ribosomal RNA". Lineage: Eukaryota; Foraminifera; Rotaliida; Rotaliidae. The record is from RNAcentral.